Long non-coding RNA from Echinops telfairi (small Madagascar hedgehog), 667 nucleotides. RefSeq lists it as uncharacterized. NCBI's taxonomy places the organism in Eukaryota, Metazoa, Chordata, Mammalia, Afrosoricida, Tenrecidae. The record is from RefSeq and is a predicted model, not a curated record. The transcript has 3 exons.
UCCUGUGAGAACAGGGAGCACUUCCUAGAAAUGUCGAGGCGUGGGAGUUGCCCCGGUGCCUCGCGUCCACCGGGGCAGCGCCCAGGCCACCCCGGAGCACAGGGAUUGAGAGCAUUGGGCGGCAGAAGAAUAACUGAAAAUGCCCGCAAGGAAGACUGGACGGCUUGGAACUCAUUUCUGUAUUGCGAAUGGUCAAGCGGAAUCACCCUGGGUUACAGGGCAAUUGCAGUUGAGAGGACUGCAACGCAGGCGUAACAAACCACCGGAGAACACUCGCCGCGCAGUUUCCUUCUAGCCCCGUCAUUGAGUGCAAGAUCGCGGCUCCUUCAUCUUCCUGAUGAGUAAGUAAGCGAACACGAGACUGCACCGGUGCAAAACAACAACAAAAGCAAACGCUGCCGUCAAGUCCCUUCCAAGUCUAUAUUGAUCCCAGAAGGCAGGGCGGGCGGCUUCCGUGGGUUUCUGAGAUAACUUGCUACAGGAGUAAAAGAAAACCUCAUCUUUCUCCCAUAGAGCUGCUGGCUGUUUCAAACUGUAGGCUUUGUCAUUAGCAGUCUAACAUGCAAGAUUUAGCAAAUUCCUUACCUUAUUUUUUUAUUUAACUCCUCCCUAUUUGGAAGGGACUGUUGUCCCUGUAGCCCAUUCAGGCGCACACACACACACACAC